This is a long non-coding RNA of Rhodamnia argentea, 234 nucleotides long. RefSeq lists it as uncharacterized. The transcript is spliced from 3 exons. NCBI's taxonomy places the organism in Eukaryota, Viridiplantae, Streptophyta, Magnoliopsida, Myrtales, Myrtaceae. The record is from RefSeq and is a predicted model, not a curated record.
CGGUUGGCAUUUUCGCUAGAAGGUGAAAUGGGUAGAGCUGGGAUUCAAGAACACCAACGGUAAAAGCACUCUGCUGGGCCGACGCCGACACUGAGAGGCGAAAGGUAGGGGAGAGAAUGGGAUUAGAUACCCUAGUAGUCCUAGCCGUAAACGAUGGAUACUAGGAGCUAUGCGUAUCGACCUGUGCGAUCUUGUAGCUAACGCUUUAAGUAUCCCGCCUAGGGAGUACGUUCG